AAAGGAAUUGACGGGGACUCGCACAAGCGGUGGAGCAUGCGGUUUAAUUCGACGCAACGCGAAGAACCUUACCAGGUCUUGACAUCCCGCUGAUCUCUCUAGAGAUAGGGAUUUCCUUCGGGACAGCGGAGACAGGUGGUGCAUGGUUGUCGUCAGCUCGUGUCGUGAGAUGUUGGGUUAAGUCCCGCAACGAGCGCAACCCUUAUCAUUAGUUGCUAACAUUAAGUUGAGCACUCUAAUGAGACCGCCGGUGACAAACCGGAUGAAGGUGGGGAUGACGUCAAAUCAUCAUGCCCCUUAUGACCUGGGCUACACGCGUGCUACAAUGGCCAGUACAAAGAGUCGCAAAGCCGUGAGGUGGAGCUAAUCUCAUAAAGCUGGUCUCAGUUCGGAUUGUAGUCUGCAACUCGACUACAUGAAGUUGGAAUCGCUAGUAAUCGCGAAUCAGAAUGUCGCGGUGAAUACGUUCUCGAGUCUUGUACACACCGCCCGU
Molecule: ribosomal RNA, 493 nt
Filed under: uncultured bacterium
Lineage: Bacteria
Description: bacterial SSU rRNA
Rfam family: Bacterial small subunit ribosomal RNA
Source: RNAcentral